RNAcentral lists this transfer RNA (72 nucleotides) under Camelus bactrianus (Bactrian camel). It matches the Rfam family "tRNA". From Rfam's summary of the family: Transfer RNA (tRNA) molecules are approximately 80 nucleotides in length. Lineage: Eukaryota; Metazoa; Chordata; Mammalia; Artiodactyla; Camelidae. The record is from Rfam by way of RNAcentral. RNAcentral also lists the same sequence under 2 other names.
GAGGUUAUAGCUCAGUGGUAGAGUGCAUGCUUAGCAUGCACAAGGUCCUGGGUUCGAUCCCCAAUUAUCUCC